GUAGAUAUAGUUUAAAUAAAACAAUGAUUUGUGGAAUCAUAAAUUCAUUCAAUGAUUUCUACC
RNAcentral lists this transfer RNA (63 nucleotides) under Laeonereis culveri. RNAcentral's name for it is "tRNA-His". Lineage: Eukaryota; Metazoa; Annelida; Polychaeta; Phyllodocida; Nereididae. The record is from RNAcentral.